UCACCUGAAGCUGAUUGAGGCAAUCAGGUUGGAGAUUUAAGCUGCUUGCUGACACUGCUUCCUCGCCAGUUCGUCAACUACCCUAUUUACUCCUGAAAAUUCCAUCACACUGAACAACUCAUCUGGGAAAUCUGGUUAACCCGCCUGCUUCCAGAAUCAUCUCUUUGCCUCACCUACCUGCCCUCCUGCCCUCCUACUACCAUGGGAUCUUCACUGCUCAGGACAGCUGUCACACACCACCAAACCCACCUGGACCGCACCACCUCUCCUUCAACGCUUCCAUCUCCCACCUGCACAUACGUACCUAAUCACCAGCCAGCUGCCGUUGCUUUCUUGGACCUGUCCCCUUGCUUAUCCCUCUCCCCUGGCCAAGACCCUCACGCCCCAUGUGUCAAGCCUUAAGUCAAGUACUAUUGUAAACAUCAUUUUUUUGUGCUAGUCAAUGAACCUUUCCUCAGCCUCUGCUUUGGGUUUUCUGCACGUGGGUUUGAUUUUUGGUACUCGGCCUCCGGCUGUUUUGUGACACACUUUUACCUUUGCAGUGCGACCCUCUGAAAUGUUCAGUGUGGUGUUUCAUUUUUUUGGUAUGAAUCUGAAAAGUCAUAGCUUACACUAAGCUUUC
Oreochromis niloticus (Nile tilapia) is the source of this 622-nucleotide long non-coding RNA. RefSeq lists it as uncharacterized. Lineage: Eukaryota; Metazoa; Chordata; Actinopteri; Cichliformes; Cichlidae. The transcript is spliced from 3 exons. The record is from RefSeq and is a predicted model, not a curated record.